Molecule: small nucleolar RNA, 117 nt
Filed under: Nelumbo nucifera (sacred lotus)
Lineage: Eukaryota; Viridiplantae; Streptophyta; Magnoliopsida; Proteales; Nelumbonaceae
Description: Small nucleolar RNA snoR104
Rfam family: Small nucleolar RNA snoR104
Source: Rfam by way of RNAcentral
GGGGACCAUCCCGAAGCUAAGUUGGUGCCUGAUUCAAUCUUCCUAUAAAAACCUCUGUAAAUUCCAACUUGUAGUUCUGAAGCAAAGUCUGCAAGUCUCAACUUACUGAACAUUUGC